Non-coding RNA from Vicugna pacos (alpaca), 716 nucleotides. The record is from RefSeq and is a predicted model, not a curated record. NCBI's taxonomy places the organism in Eukaryota, Metazoa, Chordata, Mammalia, Artiodactyla, Camelidae.
AUUACACAUAUCAGCCACGGACCAAAGAGUCAAAGGAUAAAAUCUUUCAAAGGCUUUUAGUAAAUAUUGUCAAAUUAUGUCCAAGAUGGCAUCAAUUUAAAGUUACUGGAUAGCUAAAAAAACAAAAGAUGUAAAUAAUUCUAUGAAGAAUAUUUUCAUACACAAAAAAUUUGGCCAAGUCUUAGGGCACGGUAAAAUUUAGGAAUGAAUAAAUAAAUAGACUUAGAACUUAUAUCUCAGCCCAGAAUAUUUAUUUUGGAUGUGUAAAAUGUUGUAGACAGGAAGAAUGGCAAAUACUAUGACUGGAAUUUUAACUAUGCUGCUCUGUGCCUUGAGCCAAUUUUUUGCUUACAUUCCCACACAUACCACAUUUCACUGAUUCUAAGCUGCACCAUUCCCCCCAUAUUAACACCUCUGAAGCACUGUGUCAGCUUAACUGACAGGAGCUUAUUCUUUCUUUGCAAUGCACAGAAUGAUGGUACCUUUAACAACUGAUGCCAUAUUGAUUUAAUGAAGCACAGUAAUUCUAGAUGGAAUACAAGAAUUACUGCUGCUCAUGUUUGUACGGGCCCAAUUCCCACUGCAUUUAGCACAAGCUGUGUACAAACUAUGGGGCCAGAAAUCAAACUAGUAACAGUGACAAAGGGUAAUGUACUGAAGACAGACUCAGGUCAAGUUGAACCUUUUAUCAGAUCGGAAGAGCACAGUCUGAACUC